GAUGAAGAACGUAGCGAAACGCGAUAUGUAAUGUGAAUUGCAGAAUUCAGUGAAUCAUCGAAUCUUUGAACGCACAUGGCGCCUUCCAGUAUCCUGGGAGGCAUGCCUGUCCGAGCGUCGUUUCAACCCUCGAGCCCCCGUGGCCCGGCGUUGGGGAUCUGCCACGGCAGGCCCCUAAAACCAGUGGCGGACCCGAAGGCCCUCUCCUUUGCGCAGUAGCAUCAGCCUCGCAUUGGGAUCCCUCGGCGUCCUGCCUCUAAACCCCCCACAAGUCCGCUCCGGCGGCACCAAGGUUGACCUCGGAUCAGGUAGGAAUACCCGCUGAACUUAAGCAUAUCAAUAAGCGGAGGA
RNAcentral lists this unclassified non-coding RNA (351 nucleotides) under soil metagenome. RNAcentral describes it as "partial contains 5.8S ribosomal RNA, internal transcribed spacer 2, and large subunit ribosomal RNA". The stretch from base 1 to 120 matches the Rfam family "5.8S ribosomal RNA", at positions 35 to 154 of the family's 154-position model. The record is from RNAcentral.